Molecule: RNA transcript, 3580 nt
Organism: Herpailurus yagouaroundi (jaguarundi)
Lineage: Eukaryota; Metazoa; Chordata; Mammalia; Carnivora; Felidae
Gene: ZNHIT6
Gene name: zinc finger HIT-type containing 6
Exons: 11
Source: RefSeq, a predicted model, not a curated record
GUGGAAAAGCACGGAAGCGUUGCUUUACGACGAUUCGGGCGGAAGCGCCAGGCCGGCGUUUGCUGCUUGCGGCUUUCGGGCUCACACGUGGGUGGUUUUCGGUGUUCCGGCUCUCAAUUCAUUCCUUUUGGCGUGGACAAGCCUCAUUGAAGGACAGAGUGGCCGCAAAGGCCAAGGGUCGUGAGCUGAUGAAUAUUGCUGUUGAAAAUGAAGAGACGAUGGGAGGAGGUCUGCAGAAUGGAGUGGAGGGGUCGCGGCUACGGCUCAAGUCCGGUAGGGAGAGAGUCGGGGGCACAGCCGAGACGGAGGCCGGCCGUGUAGAAGCGGGGAACGGAUUGACAGGAAUGGGGAAGACAGAGGAUAGAGAAGGAACUGGGCAAAGGGUAGAGGAAAUGCGAGUGGACCUAACGGUUGUGAAGCAAGAACUUACCGACUGGUCAGAAAUGGAAGAAGGGAUGCUGGAUGGCCGAUGGGUAAAGCAGGAGGUAGAGGAUGGACCUAAGGUGAAAGAGGAGAAACCAGGCACUUUGGAAGUGAAGCAAGAGAUGGAUAGUAGUUUUGUGGUAAAAGAAGAGAAGGUGAACGAAACAGAUGUAAAGGAAGAGAAAGUGAAGGUGAAGGAAGAGGUAAUGGACUGGCUAGAUGUGAAGGAAGAGAAGAAAGCUAUCAUGGAGAUAAAAGAGGAGGUGUUUGUUGGUCAGAACAUAAAAAAGGAGGAAAUGAUGGAUGAAAUGUGUGUAAAAGAAGAGAAGUAUUUUCCAAAAGAAGAAGUGAUGGAUGAUACAAAGAUGAAAGAAGAACCUCACAUAAAUCCCCCAGUGGGCUUCAAGCGGAAACUGGCCAUGUCCAGGUGUGAAACUUGUGGUACAGAAGAAGCAAAGUACAAAUGUCCACGUUGUAUGCGAUAUUCCUGCAGUUUGCCCUGUGUAAAGAAACACAAAGCAGAACUGACAUGUAAUGGAGUUCGAGAUAAAACUGCAUAUGUUUCCAUACAACAGUUUACUGAAAUGAAUCUGCUUAGUGAUUAUCGAUUUUUGGAAGAUGUGGCAAGAACAGCAGACUACAUUUCUAGAGAUGCUUUCUUAAAAAGACCAAUAAGCAAUAAACAUAUGUAUUUUAUGAAAAAUCGUGCUAGAAAACAAGGUAUUAAUUUAAAGCUUCUACCCAACGGAUUCACAAAGAGGAAAGAAAAUUCAACAUUUUUUGAUAAGAAAAAACAGCAGUUUUGUUGGCAUGUGAAGCUCCAAUUUCCUCAGAGUCAAGCUGUGUACAUAGAAAAAAGAGUACCAGAUGAUAAAACUAUUAAUGAAAUCCUAAAACCUUACAUUGAUCCUGAAAAGGCUGAUCCUGUAAUUCGUCAAAGGUUGAAAGCCUACAUUCGCUCUCAGACUGGGGUCCAAAUUUUAAUGAAGGUUGAAUAUAUGCAGCAAAAUUUAGUAAGAUAUUACGAACUGGAUCCUUAUAAAAGUCUCCGUGACAAUUUGAGGAACAAAGUGAUCAUUGAGUAUCCAACAUUACAUGUGGUAUUAAAAGAAUCCAGUAAUGACAUGGAAGUUCUUCACCAAGAGCCCUGUGGUCCUGCUCCUGACUGCUGCUCUGUGUUCCUAAAGAAAAACAGUAGAGUCCAAUCUCUGUUUUGAAGUUUCGGUGGUUGGUUGACCAGAUGCUGUGAUGCUGUGCUUCAGGGUCCCCGCCAACACAGAAGAGACAGCAACUUUUUCCAUGUUCCUGACAGAUUGGAAGGUGUUUUUUCACAUUCUCUGCUUCAGAUCUCUCCCUGGAAAGUGUUGCUAUGGAAGAGCAUAUGGUUUUAUUUGGUGGAAAUGUGCAGAGAAAUUGAAGGAAGUCAUACGCAUGCAUGGCAAAUACUGGAAUUAAGGAGGGCUCCUGAUGAUAACUGGGAUACUGGUCCACCUGCUUGGGUGGUAACCCAGGAAGCAAGGGAAAGAGUCAGACAGCCAUAAGUUUAAUCGGAUCUGCCACUUGCUUGCCAGGUGACUUUGGGCAAGUUACUGGGCCCUGACUGACCUUUUUUUCUUCCGGGUCUCUGAAACAGAGAACAUUACCCUUACUGUGCAUUGCUCUUGCUGAGAGACAACAAGGUAACAAGUCAUGAGCACCAUAGUAACUGCUCAGUAAAUGGUAGCCACCAUUAGGGAGUGGUGAGGCAGUCGCAUUUAUGCCCCAAGGAUAUGGGUUCAGUCAUCAAGCUAUCUUUUGGCCUUUGAAGUUUGGAGCGCUUUGGGGAAGCCAGGGGUGUUCCGUGCUGGCCAAACUUGGUUUUGUGUACAUUUGUCAUCAGACUGGACAAUUGCUGAAAAAUGUAUACCUCAGCUGUCAAGGGAAUUAAAAAGGUCACCCCCUGCAAGCAGUAAGGUCUUCCUGAGUCUCAGCAAGUUGGCGACACCGUCGGGUGGAACAGUGCAGCCCUCUCAACAUGUGGUUUUGAACCCCGCCCCCCACCUUCAUGUUGUCAGCCCUGGUCAGCAUAGGCCUCAGCACCUCUGAGAGAACAGAAGACUCGUCUCCCAAGUGCUCACACCUGCUACCUACCCUGAAUGAACCCUUUGGGAGGGAGGGUGAUUAUAAUUGUAAUGUUUUAAAAUCUUCCUUGAACUAUUCAGGUUUAAUUCAUGUAGAUCAAAAUCUGCCAGGAAAAUGCUCCACAUGCACUUUGCAUAUGCAUUCUGGAAGAUUCACAGACCUGUUGAAAGGCUGCCUGCCACACCAUACCCCUAGCCCCUUUCUCGAGUACACGCACUAGAGGUUGGCAGAAGACGCUGAGAACCUGCGCGAACCUUUAUCAAGUUACUGGAUCUAACUGGGCGUCUUGUUUUCUGAUCUGGAAAAUGAAGAUACUGGAUUAGGUGAUUGCCAAAGUCCUUCUAGACUCUAAAUGGCUAUGACAGUAUAUCAUUCAUGAGCCUUGAAUAGAAUACAAGAGGUUUCUUUCAGCAUUCUAGACUGUUGAAGUUCUAACCUAUGUUAGGAAACGAUGAGAAAAAAGUCUGUAUCCUCCCUCAACCUGAGUGUUCUAGUUUCUCUCAGCUCCUCGAAGGGCCUUCAAAAAGAAGCAUCUAAAAUACAGUGACUCACCCAUGCUUUUCAUGGGCAUGGGGCCUUGCCCCAAGCCGGGGACUCCACAGUUGGGCAAACUGUUCCUCACCCUGUUAGGACAUGCGUAGGGCUGAUUGAAUGGACUUUUGUCUUUGCCUCUUUCUUAACACCUUCAUUAUGACUGAAGUCACUUUUUUAAAAACGAAUAAAUGGUGGAAAAGGGAAGGGGGACUUAACCAAUUUUGUUUUUAAACUACACACCGUAAAACUGUGUCAUCAUUCUGUGUAUAAUUCAAUUGAAGUGUUUUUUUCUAACAAAAUUAAGGGACAUAUGUUCACUCAGUGUACAUAAUAGAAUGGUCAAGGUAUGUGUUUAGACAGGAAAUGUGUAAAUCUCAUUUUAUAUAUGUAUUAUUGCUAGAAUCCUAAACGUGAAAAAAGUGUCUGGCAAAUGGGUACUGUACCAUCAUUUCCUUAGUGCAAUAAAUAUCACCUCUCACAUUAAAGACAUUAGCAAGUUUAA